AUUGAACGCUAGCGGGAUGCUUUACACAUGCAAGUCGAACGAGUGGCGGACGGGUGAGUAAUAUAUCGGAACGUGCCCAGUAGCGGGGGAUAACUACUCGAAAGAGUGGCUAAUACCGCAUACAAAUGGAGCGGCCCACAUCGGAUUAGCUAGUUGGUGGGGUAAAGACUCACAAAGGCAACGAUCCGGAGCUGGUUUGAGAGGAUGACCAGCCACACUGGGACUGAAACACGGCCCAGACUCGUACGGUAGGCAGCAGUGGGGAAUUUUGGACAAUGGGGGAUACCCUGAUCCAGCCAUCCCGCGUGUAUGAGAAGGCCUGCGGGGUGUAAAGUACUUUUGGCAGAGAAGCGGUAUCUGCAGAAGAAGCACCGGCUAACUACGUGCCGGCAGCCGCGGUGAUUC
Molecule: ribosomal RNA, 405 nt
Filed under: uncultured bacterium
Lineage: Bacteria
Description: partial 16S ribosomal RNA
Rfam family: Bacterial small subunit ribosomal RNA
Source: RNAcentral